Molecule: ribosomal RNA, 497 nt
Filed under: uncultured bacterium
Lineage: Bacteria
Description: partial 16S ribosomal RNA
Rfam family: Bacterial small subunit ribosomal RNA
Source: RNAcentral
GAUGAACGCUGGCGGCGUGCCUAAUACAUGCAAGUCGAGCGAACAGACGAGGAGCUUGCUCCUCUGACGUUAGCGGCGGACGGGUGAGUAACACGUGGAUAACCUACCUAUAAGACUGGGAUAACUUCGGGAAACCGGAGCUACUGCCGGAUAAUAUAUUGAACCGCAUGGUUCAAUAGUGAAAGACGGUUUUGCUGUCACUUAUAGAUGGAUCCGCGCCGCAUUAGCUAGUUGGUAAGGUAACGGCUUACCAAGGCAACGAUGCGUAGCCGACCUGAGAGGGUGAACGGCCAAACUGGGACUGAGGCACGGUCCAGACUCCUACGGGAGGGAGGAGGAGGGGAUCUUCCGCAAUGGGCGAAAACUUUACGGAGCAACGCCGCGUGAGUGAUGAAGGUCUUCGGAUCGUAAAACUCUGUUAGUAGGGAAGAACAAAUGGGUAAGUAACUAUGCACGGCUUGACGGUACCUAAUCAGAAAGGCACGGCUAACUACGUG